RNAcentral lists this ribosomal RNA (497 nucleotides) under uncultured bacterium. RNAcentral describes it as "partial 16S ribosomal RNA". It matches the Rfam family "Bacterial small subunit ribosomal RNA", at positions 28 to 507 of the family's 1533-position model. The record is from RNAcentral.
GACGAACGCUGGCGGCGUGCCUAAUACAUGCAAGUAGAACGCUGAAGAGAGGAGCUUGCUCUUCUUGGAUGAGUUGCGCACGGGUGAGUAACGCGUAGGUAACCUGCCUUGUAGCGGGGGAUAACUAUUGGAAACGAUAGCUAAUACCGCAUAACAAUGGAUGACACAUGUCAUUUAUUUGAAAGGGGCAAUUGCUCCACUACAAGAUGGACCUGCGUUGUAUUAGCUAGUAGGUGAGGUAAUGGCUCACCUAGGCGACGAUACAUAGCCGACCUGAGAGGGUGAUCGGCCACACUGGGACUGAGACACGGCCCAGACUCCUACGGGAGGCAGCAGGAGGGAAUCUUCGGCAAUGGGGGCAACCCUGACCGAGCAACGCCGCGUGAGUGAAGAAGGGUUUCGGAUCGUAAAGCUCUGUUGUAAGCCAAGAACGGGUGUGAGAGUGGAAAGUUCACACUGUGACGGUAGCUUACCAGAAAGGGACGGCUAACUACGUG